This 497-nucleotide ribosomal RNA is filed under the name uncultured bacterium. RNAcentral's name for it is "partial 16S ribosomal RNA". It matches the Rfam family "Bacterial small subunit ribosomal RNA", at positions 28 to 507 of the family's 1533-position model. The record is from RNAcentral.
GACGAACGCUGGCGGCGUGCCUAAUACAUGCAAGUUGAGCGAUGAAGAUUGGUGCUUGCACCAAUUUGAAGAGCAGCGAACGGGUGAGUAACGCGUGGGGAAUCUGCCUUUGAGCGGGGGACAACAUUUGGAAACGAAUGCUAAUACCGCAUAACAACUUUAAACAUAAGUUUUAAGUUUGAAAGAUGCAAUUGCAUCACUCAAAGAUGAUCCCGCGUUGUAUUAGCUAGUUGGUGAGGUAAAGGCUCACCAAGGCGAUGAUACAUAGCCGACCUGAGAGGGGGAUAGGCCACAUUGGGACUGAGACACGGCCCAAACUCCUACGGGAGGCAGCAGUAGGGAAUCUUCGGCAAUGGAAGAAAGUCUGACCGAGCAACGCCGCGUGAGUGAAGAAGGUUUUCGGAUCGUAAAACUCUGUUGGUAGAGAAGAACGUUGGUGAGAGUGGAAAGCUCAUCAAGUGACGGUAACUACCCAGAAAGGGACGGCUAACUACGUG